GCUGAAGCAGCGGGUGGCCAAGAUCUCGUGUAUUAGAGGUCUAGCUGGACGUCCCAGUUCGUGUGCAUCGGGCAGUCCUUGAAGUCAGAGGUUUUGUACUGUAUGUACAUAUACAUCAGAGAAAUAGCCAGAUAUUGAAAUUGCCAGAUGAUUGUGUGGAAUCUGGAAGAAAUUGUUGGGCACCUCACCUUGGAAAUCCUGCUGAACUUGAAUUCAGCGGUCAUGUGUUCUUGGUGUUAUGCCAGUGGCGUCGGCAACGGUGC
Lolium rigidum is the source of this 263-nucleotide long non-coding RNA. RefSeq lists it as uncharacterized. The transcript has 3 exons. Lineage: Eukaryota; Viridiplantae; Streptophyta; Magnoliopsida; Poales; Poaceae. The record is from RefSeq and is a predicted model, not a curated record.